GGGGGCAACCCCGGAGUCGAGCGGCGAACGGGUGAGUAACGCGUGGAUGACCUGCCCUUUAGUGGGGAACAACCAGGGGAAACUCUGGCUAAUACCGCAUUCGACCGAAAGGUGAAAGGGGGCUCGCAAGGGCUCUCGCUGAAGGAGGGGUCCGCGUCCGAUUAGCUAGUUGGUAGGGUAAUGGCCUACCAAGGCGACGAUCGGUAGCCGGCCUGAGAGGGUGAUCGGCCACACUGGAACUGAGACACGGUCCAGACUCCUACGGGAGGCAGCAGUGGGGAAUUUUGCGCAAUGGGCUAACGCCUGACGCAGCAACGCCGCGUGGAGGAUGAAGGUCUUUGGAUUGUAAACUCCUGUCAGCGGGGAAAAAGGGACUUGGCCUAAUACGCCAGGGACUUGAUUGUACCCGCAGAGGAAGCCCCGGCUAACUCUGUGCCAGCAGCCGCGGUAAUACAGAGGGGGCAAGCGUUA
This 471-nucleotide ribosomal RNA is filed under the name uncultured bacterium. Its description in RNAcentral is "bacterial SSU rRNA". It matches the Rfam family "Bacterial small subunit ribosomal RNA", at positions 75 to 543 of the family's 1533-position model. The record is from RNAcentral.